CGGAAAGACAAGUCAGUUGUGAAAUCCCGGGGCUCAACCUCGGAACAGCAAUUGAAACUAUCAUUCUAGAGGCUAGAUGGAGAAAACGGAAUUCCACAAGUAGCGGUGAAAUGCGUAGAUAUGUGGAAGAACACCGGUGGCGAAGGCGGUUUUCUAAUUUAGACCUGACGCUGAGGCGCGAAAGCAAGGGGAUCAAACAGGAUUAGAUACCCUGGUAGUCCUUGCCGUAAACUAUGUAUACUUGGUGUAGCCGGAAUCAACCCUGGCUGUGCCGUAGCUAACGCGAUAAGUAUACCGCCUGGGGAGUACGCUCGCAAGGGUGAAACUCAAAAGAAUUGACGGGGACCCGCACAAGCAGUGGAGCAUGUGGUUUAAUUCGAUGCAACGCGAAGAACCUUACCCAGACUUGACAUACAGUGGAAGUUUGUAGAGAUAUAAACGCCCUUCGGGGCCGCUGAACAGGUGCUGCAUGGCUGUCGUCAGCUCGUGCCGUGAGGUGUUGGGUUAAGUCCCGCAACGAGCGCAACCCUUAUCGUUAGUUGCCAACAGGUAAUGCUGGGAACUCUAGCGAGACUGCCUGGGUUAACCAGGAGGAAGGUGAGGAUGACGUCAAGUCCGCAUGGCCCUUAUGUCUGGGGCUACACACGUGCUACAAUGGUCGGUACAGAAGGCAGCGAAACCGUGAGGUGAAGCAAAUCCCUAAAGCCGGCCCCAGUUCAGAUUGUAGUCUGCGACUCGACUACAUGAAGAUGGAAUUGCUAGUAAUGGC
This 769-nucleotide ribosomal RNA is filed under the name uncultured bacterium. RNAcentral's name for it is "bacterial SSU rRNA". It matches the Rfam family "Bacterial small subunit ribosomal RNA", at positions 576 to 1345 of the family's 1533-position model. The record is from RNAcentral.